RNAcentral lists this ribosomal RNA (301 nucleotides) under uncultured bacterium. RNAcentral's name for it is "partial 16S ribosomal RNA". It matches the Rfam family "Bacterial small subunit ribosomal RNA", at positions 509 to 808 of the family's 1533-position model. The record is from RNAcentral.
CAGUCGCCGCGGUAAUACGUAGGUGGCAAGCGUUGUCCGGAAUUAUUGGGCGUAAAGGGCUCGCAGGCGGUUUCUUAAGUCUGAUGUGAAGGCCCCGGCUCAACCGGGGAGGGUCAUUGGAAACUGGGAAACUUGAGUGCAGAAGAGGAGAGUGGAAUUCCACGUGUAGCGGUGAAAUGCGUAGAGAUGUGGAGGAACACCAGUGGCGAAGGCGACUCUCUGGUCUGUAACUGACGCUGAGGAGCGAAAGCGUGGGGAGCGAACAGGAUUAGAUACCCCCGUAGUCCCUGUCUCUUAUACA